ACGGCACGGUGGGAGUGUCUCCGGCUGGUCUGCAGGGAGGACACCGACUGAGACCACAAACCCUGGCUCCAGUGUCAUGGAAUCAGUCACCUUUGAGGAUGUGGCCGUGGAGUUCAUCCAGGAGUGGGCAUUGCUGGACAGUGCACGGAGGAGCCUGUGCAGAUACAGGAUGCUGGACCAGUGCAGGACCCUGGCCUCCAGGGGAACUCCACCAUGCAAACCCAGUUGCGUCUCCCAGCUGGGGCCAAGAGCAGAGCCACGGGCAACAGAACAAGGGAUUCUCCAUGCCACAGGUGUAGCCUGGGAAUCUCAACUUAAACCCAAAGAGUUGCCUUCUAUGCAGGAUCUUUUGGAAGAAGCAUCCUCCAGGGACAUGCAAAUGGGGCCGGGGCUGUUCCUGAGGAUGCAGCUGGUGCCCUCCAUAGAAGAGAGGGAGACACCAUUGACUCGAGAGGACUGGCCAGCUCUCCAGGAGCCACCUUGGUCUCCAGGAUGCAUGGGACUGAAGGCUGCUGUGCAGAUUCAGAGGGUGGUGAUACCAGUGCCUACACUGAGCCACUGCAACCCAUGGGUGGCCAGGGAUUCUGCUGUGCCUGCACGAGACCCUGCCUGGCUUCAGGAGGACAAAGUGGAGGAAGAAGCUAUGGCUCCUGGGCUGCCAACCGCCUGUUCACAGGAACCAGUCACCUUUGCAGAUGUGGCUGUGGUGUUCACCCCAGAAGAAUGGGUGUUUCUGGACUCUACUCAGAGGAGCCUGUAUAGAGAUGUGAUGCUGGAGAACUACAGGAACCUGGCCUCUGUGGCUGAUCAACUGUGCAAACCCAAUGCGUUGUCUUAUUUGGAAGAAAGAGGAGAGCAGUGGACCACUGACAGGGGCAUCCUCUCAGACACCUGUGCAGGUGAGCCCAGGCGGAUCAGGUGAGCAUCAGCUCUGGUCAGUAAGGGGAGUGUCCAGUUUGGAAAUUGUCUAUCAGGGCAACCUAUUCAUACCCUUGACUGAGAAGCCUGUUUGGUUGAGCUCCCUUAUUAAAUGCCACCUUCUUUCCUUUUUCCCUUUCCUUUUUCAUCUCUGAAACUUUACAUUAAUCUCCUAGAAAGAUCUGUCAUACUUUCUCUUCAUAUUUAAUAUUUCCAUGUGUAUAUUUUAUCCAUUUCCUCCCUACUGUAUAUUCUUGCUAAUAUUUUUCCUCAACAUUAGUCACAAUCUUCAUAGAAUCCUUUUUUGGUAAAUGACCUACUAUUUCCUUCCCAUGUUCCUCUGAUUACAUAACUUCUCACCUAGCCACACACCUUAAAAUUUUCCUAACUUCUAGAUGCAUUCCUUCUCAUUGCAGUUUCUUCCCUUACUGCAAUCAGUACGGGAUCAGUAUUUGGAAAAAAAAGUCCACAUGUGCCUUGCCUACUUUUUAGGUGACCUUGAUCCCACAGUUUCUUUCUCUGUGUGCUUAACUUUUUCUUCCCUAAUUCAUUUCAGAACCUCAAUGUCAACCCCAAGAGGCAAUUCCUAGCCAAGAUACUUUUACGGAGAUCCUGUCCCUUGAUGUGAAAGGGGAGCAACCUCAGCCUG
RNAcentral lists this small RNA (1567 nucleotides) under Pongo abelii (Sumatran orangutan). RNAcentral describes it as "retained intron". Lineage: Eukaryota; Metazoa; Chordata; Mammalia; Primates; Hominidae. The record is from RNAcentral.